Molecule: ribosomal RNA, 385 nt
Filed under: uncultured Caulobacter sp.
Lineage: Bacteria; Pseudomonadati; Pseudomonadota; Alphaproteobacteria; Caulobacterales; Caulobacteraceae
Description: bacterial SSU rRNA
Rfam family: Bacterial small subunit ribosomal RNA (bases 50-288)
Source: RNAcentral
CGCGUCGGAGGCAUAGGUUACAAGCAGACGGAUCUUCGGGAUUAGUGGCGGACGGGUGAGUAUGGAACGUGCCCUUUGGUUCGGAACAACUCAGUGAAACUUGAGCUAAUACCGGAUGUGCCCUUCGGGGGAAAGAUUUAUCGCCAUUGGAGCGGCCCGCGUCUGAUUAGCUAGUUGGUGAGGUAAAGGCUCACCAAGGGCGACGAUCAGAUAGCUGUGUCAUCAGAGUGAUGAUCAUGCCACAAUUGGUGACUGAUGACACUGGCCACAAAACUCCCUACGUGGGAGUGCACGCAAGCUGGUGUGAAAUCUAUGCCCGCAACAUGGUGCUGAAACGCCUCGACGCAGCCACUGCCGACGUGACAUGACUGAAGUGGUCUUAAGG